AUCUUCCGCAAUGGACGAAAGUCCGACGGAACAACGCCGCGUGAGUGAUGAAGGUUUUCGGCUCGUAAAACUCCGUUGUUAGGGAAGAACAAGUACCGUUCGAAUAGGGCGGCACCUUGACGGUACCUAACCAGAAAGCCACGGCUAACUACGUGCCAGCAGCCGCGGUACUACGUAGGUGGCAACCGUUGUCCGGAAUUAUUGGGCGUAAAGCGCGCGCAGGCGGUUUCUUAAGUCUGAUGGGAAAGCCCCCGGCUCAACCGGGGAGGGUCAUUGGAAACUGGGGAACUUGAGUGCAGAAGAGGAGAGUGGAAUUCCACGUGUAGCGGUGAAAUGCGUAGAGAUGGGGAGGAACACCAGUGGCGAAGGCGACUCUCUGGUCUGUAACUGACGCUGAGGCGCGAAAGCGUGGGGAGCGAACAG
RNAcentral lists this ribosomal RNA (423 nucleotides) under uncultured bacterium. RNAcentral describes it as "bacterial SSU rRNA". It matches the Rfam family "Bacterial small subunit ribosomal RNA", at positions 361 to 775 of the family's 1533-position model. The record is from RNAcentral.